RNAcentral lists this long non-coding RNA (346 nucleotides) under Elaeis guineensis (African oil palm). Its description in RNAcentral is "long non-coding RNA (EGUI_LNC005858)". The record is from RNAcentral. Lineage: Eukaryota; Viridiplantae; Streptophyta; Magnoliopsida; Arecales; Arecaceae.
CUUCUUGGCUAGUGGGUGAGCCAAUUAUUCAAACUUUGGGAUGCAAUUCAAUGGCAACUUGAUGAAGAUACUAAAUUGUACUAAUUCUCAGUGGACAAGGGAACUUGCCACCUCCCUCCACCAGAGCAAUGGAGGAUUUAUGGGAACCAGUAAGUCACAAAGAUCCCCUUAUUGGAGAUGGCCGAACAAGAUACAUUGGAUCCUUUAUACUUCUUGGUGAUACUCCUUUAAAUCUGCUGGAACUUUUAAUCAGAUACAGGAUGGAGGAGUGCCAUUGGAAUCAAUUUGUGCAAAAUUGACCAUGCCUCAAAGCGCUUCUCCUUCCUGAAGGAAGUGCCUAUGAGAU